Pipistrellus kuhlii (Kuhl's pipistrelle) is the source of this 157-nucleotide small nuclear RNA. RefSeq annotates it as U1 spliceosomal RNA. The record is from RefSeq and is a predicted model, not a curated record. The transcript has a single exon. NCBI's taxonomy places the organism in Eukaryota, Metazoa, Chordata, Mammalia, Chiroptera, Vespertilionidae.
GAACGUACAUGGGGAGACACCAUGGUCGCGAAGGUGGUUUUCCCAGGGCGAGGCUCAUCCAUUGCACUCCGGCUGUGCUGACCCCUGCGAUUUCCCCAAUGUGGGAAACUCGACUGCAUAAUUUGUGGUAAUGGAGGACUGCGUUCACAUUCUUCCC